RNAcentral lists this unclassified non-coding RNA (310 nucleotides) under plant metagenome. RNAcentral's name for it is "partial contains 5.8S ribosomal RNA, internal transcribed spacer 2, and large subunit ribosomal RNA". The stretch from base 1 to 105 matches the Rfam family "5.8S ribosomal RNA", at positions 50 to 154 of the family's 154-position model. The record is from RNAcentral.
GAAAUGCGAUAAGUAGUGUGAAUUGCAGAAUUCAGUGAAUCAUCGAAUCUUUGAACGCACAUUGCGCCCCUUGGUAUUCCAUGGGGCAUGCCUGUUCGAGCGUCAUUUGUACCCUCAAGCUCUGCUUGGUGUUGGGUGUUUGUCCCCGUCUCCGCGCGUGGACUCGCCCCAAAGUGAUUGGCAGCCGGCGUACUGGUCCCGGAGCGCAGCACAUGUCGCGCAAACGAGUGCCUUGGUACGGCGGCGUCCAUAAGCCCCUCUCUCACGCUCUUGACCUCGGAUCAGGUGGGGAUACCCGCUGAACUUAAGC